Molecule: long non-coding RNA, 412 nt
Filed under: Piliocolobus tephrosceles (Ugandan red Colobus)
Lineage: Eukaryota; Metazoa; Chordata; Mammalia; Primates; Cercopithecidae
Description: lncRNA (ENSPTEG00000012916.1)
Source: RNAcentral
GCCAACUUCAAACUGCCCCUCAGAAGGAGGCCCUCGCUCUCUCUGAUCCCGGAGGCCCAAGUCAGUGGCUUCACAUCUCGCCAGGAACCCGGGGCUUCCCUGGGUUGACAGCAGGGAUGGAACAGGAUUCUGCCAGGAUGGGGGUGAAGGGUUGAUUUUGGGAGCAGAACGCAACACCUGAUCUCGAUUGAAACUUUGGCAGCUACAGCUCUCUUUUUCAUUUUGAUAUCCAUUGCAGCUAUGGACGAUGGUGGAGUGAGUAUACGUCAGUGACUUGUCCCUGCUGUGAAUGAAAAUACUUCUAACAUUUCAAAUUCAAGUAUGCUUCCUGUCAAUUUUAGGAAAUCAAAGUUUUUAAUCUUAGUUUGCUAAAAGGUGUUAAUUACAAAUCACAUACACUUUCUUUCAGAGG